AGCGAACGCUGGCGGCAGGCUUAACACAUGCAAGUCGAGCGGGCGUAGCAAUACGUCAGCGGCAGACGAGUGAGUAACGCGUGGGAACGUACCUUUUGGUUCGGAACAACACAGGGAAACUUGUGCUAAUACCGGAUAAGCCCUUACGGGGAAAGGUUUAUCGCCGAAAGAUCGGCCCGCGUCUGAUUAGCUAGUUGGUAGGGUAAUGGCCUACCAAGGCGACGAUCAGUAGCUGGUCUGAGAGGAUGAUCAGCCACAUUGGGACUGAGACACGGCCCAAACUCCUACGGGAGGCAGCAGUGGGGAAUAUUGGACAAUGGGGGCAACCCUGAUCCAGCCAUGCCGCGUGAGUGAUGAAGGCCCUAGGGUUGUAAAGCUCUUAUGUGCGGGAAGAUAAUGACGGUACCGCAAGAAUAAGCCCCGGCUAACUUCGUGCCAGCAGCCGCGGUAA
RNAcentral lists this ribosomal RNA (451 nucleotides) under uncultured bacterium. RNAcentral's name for it is "partial 16S ribosomal RNA". It matches the Rfam family "Bacterial small subunit ribosomal RNA", at positions 29 to 523 of the family's 1533-position model. The record is from RNAcentral.